This 434-nucleotide ribosomal RNA is filed under the name uncultured bacterium. Its description in RNAcentral is "partial 16S ribosomal RNA". It matches the Rfam family "Bacterial small subunit ribosomal RNA", at positions 355 to 779 of the family's 1533-position model. The record is from RNAcentral.
UGGGGAAUUUUUGGACAAUGGGCGAAAGCCUGAUCCAGCAAUGCCGCGUGUGUGAAGAAGGCCUUCGGGUUGUAAAGCACUUUUGUCCGGAAAGAAAAUCCUUGGCUCUAAUACAGUCGGGGGAUGACGGUACCGGAAGAAUAAGCACCGGCUAACUACGUGCCAGCAGCCGCGGUAAUACGUAGGGUGCAAGCGUUAAUCGGAAUUACUGGGCGUAAAGCGUGCGCAGGCGGUUUGCUAAGACCGAUGUGAAAUCCCCGGGCUCAACCUGGGAACUGCAUUGGUGACUGGCAGGCUAGAGUAUGGCAGAGGGGGGUAGAAUUCCACGUGUAGCAGUGAAAUGCGUAGAGAUGUGGAGGAAUACCGAUGGCGAAGGCAGCCCCCUGGGCCAAUACUGACGCUCAUGCACGAAAGCGUGGGGAGCAAACAGGAUU